RNAcentral lists this transfer RNA (76 nucleotides) under Desulfobulbaceae bacterium. RNAcentral describes it as "tRNA-Gln". It matches the Rfam family "tRNA". From Rfam's summary of the family: Transfer RNA (tRNA) molecules are approximately 80 nucleotides in length. Their secondary structure includes four short double-helical elements and three loops (D, anti-codon, and T loops). Lineage: Bacteria; Pseudomonadati; Thermodesulfobacteriota; Desulfobulbia; Desulfobulbales; Desulfobulbaceae. The record is from RNAcentral.
UGGGGCGUAGCCAAGCGGUAAAGGCAACGGGUUUUGAUCCCGUCAUACGGAGGUUCGAAUCCUCCCGCCCUAGCCA